CACCAGACUCCUACGGGAGGCAGCAGUGGGGAAUAUUGCACAAUGGGGGAAACCCUGAUGCAGCAACGCCGCGUGAGUGAGGAAGUAUUUCGGUAUGUAAAGCUCUAUCAGCAGGGAAUAGAAAAGAAGGUACCUGAAAAAGAAGCCCCGGCUAACUACGUGCCAGCAGCCGCGGUAAUACGUAGGGGGCAAGCGUUAUCCGGAUUUACUGGGUGUAAAGGGAGCGUAGACGGCAGUGCAAGUCCGGAGUGAAAGCCCGGGGCUCAACCCUGGGACUGCUCUGGAAACUGUAAAGCUGGAGUGCGGGAGGGGCAGGCGGAAUUCCUGGUGUAGCGGUGAAAUGCGUAGAUAUCAGGAGGAACACCGGCGGCGAAGGCGGCCUGCUGGACCGUAACUGACGUUGAGGCUCGAAAGCGUGGGGAGCAAACAGGAUUAGAUACCCCCGUACCG
This 450-nucleotide ribosomal RNA is filed under the name uncultured bacterium. RNAcentral describes it as "bacterial SSU rRNA". It matches the Rfam family "Bacterial small subunit ribosomal RNA", at positions 329 to 793 of the family's 1533-position model. The record is from RNAcentral.